RNAcentral lists this ribosomal RNA (500 nucleotides) under uncultured bacterium. Its description in RNAcentral is "partial 16S ribosomal RNA". It matches the Rfam family "Bacterial small subunit ribosomal RNA", at positions 30 to 523 of the family's 1533-position model. The record is from RNAcentral.
AUUGAACGCUGGCGGAAUGCUUUACACAUGCAAGUCGAACGGCAGCACGGAUUUCGGUCUGGUGGCGAGUGGCGAACGGGUGAGUAAUACAUCGGAACGUGCCCAGUCGUGGGGGAUAACGUAGCGAAAGCUACGCUAAUACCGCAUACGAUCUAAGGAUGAAAGCGGGGGAUCGCAAGACCUCGCGCGAUUGGAGCGGCCGAUGGCAGAUUAGGUAGUUGGUAGGGUAAAGGCCUACCAAGCCGACGAUCUGUAGCUGGUCUGAGAGGAUGAGCAGCCACACUGGGACUGAGACACGGCCCAGACUCCUACGGGAGGCAGCAGUGGGGAAUUUUGGACAAUGGGCGCAAGCCUGAUCCAGCCAUUCCGCGUGCAGGAUGAAGGCCUUCGGGUUGUAAACUGCUUUUGUACAGAACGAAAAGGCUCUGGUUAAUACCCGGGGCUCAUGACGGUACUGUAAGAAUAAGCACCGGCUAACUACGUGCCAGCAGCCGCCGUAA